RNAcentral lists this ribosomal RNA (480 nucleotides) under uncultured bacterium. RNAcentral's name for it is "bacterial SSU rRNA". It matches the Rfam family "Bacterial small subunit ribosomal RNA", at positions 28 to 507 of the family's 1533-position model. The record is from RNAcentral.
GAUGAACGCUAGCGGCAGGCUUAACACAUGCAAGUCGAGGGGUAUAGUUCUUCGGAAUUAGAGACCGGCGCACGGGUGCGUAACGCGUAUGCAAUCUACCUUUCACAGAGGGAUAGCCCCAGAGAAAUUUGGAUUAAUACCUCAUAGUAUAGCAGUUUCGCAUGAAACCACUAUUAAAGUCACAACGGUGAAAGAUGAGCAUGCGUCCCAUUAGCUAGUUGGUAAGGUAACGGCUUACCAAGGCAACGAUGGGUAGGGGUCCUGAGAGGGAGAUCCCCCACACUGGUACUGAGACACGGACCAGACUCCUACGGGAGGCAGCAGUGAGGAAUAUUGGACAAUGGGCGCAAGCCUGAUCCAGCCAUGCCGCGUGCAGGAUGACGGUCCUAUGGAUUGUAAACUGCUUUUAUACAGGAAGAAACACUACUUCGUGAAGUAGCUUGACGGUACUGUAAGAAUAAGGAUCGGCUAACUCCCGUG